UAGGGAAUCUUCCGCAAUGGACGCAAGUCUGACGGAGCAACGCCGCGUGAGUGAAGAAGGUUUUCGGAUCGUAAAGCUCUGUUGCCAGGGAAGAACGGGACGGGGAGUAACUGCCCUGUUCAUGACGGUACCUGAGAAGAAAGCCCCGGCUAACUACGUGCCAGCAGCCGCGGUAAUACGUAGGGGGCAAGCGUUGUCCGGAAUUAUUGGGCGUAAAGCGCGCGCAGGCGGACUUGUAAGUCUGGUGUCUAAGACUGGGGCUCAACCCUGGAACGCACCGGAAACUGCAAGACUGGAGUGCAGGAGAGGAAAGUGGAAUUCCACGUGUAGCGGUGAAAUGCGUAGAGAUGUGGAGGAACACCAGUGGCGAAGGCGACUUUCUGGCCUGUAACUGACGCUGAGGCGCGAAAGCGUGGGGAGCAAACA
RNAcentral lists this ribosomal RNA (426 nucleotides) under uncultured Paenibacillus sp. Its description in RNAcentral is "bacterial SSU rRNA". It matches the Rfam family "Bacterial small subunit ribosomal RNA", at positions 355 to 774 of the family's 1533-position model. The record is from RNAcentral. Lineage: Bacteria; Bacillati; Bacillota; Bacilli; Caryophanales; Paenibacillaceae.